This is a long non-coding RNA of Nicotiana attenuata, 394 nucleotides long. RefSeq lists it as uncharacterized. The record is from RefSeq and is a predicted model, not a curated record. NCBI's taxonomy places the organism in Eukaryota, Viridiplantae, Streptophyta, Magnoliopsida, Solanales, Solanaceae. The transcript is spliced from 2 exons.
CGCCCGUUUCUUUUCUCUAACCGGCCUCGAGCAAGGUUGUGUCGUUGAUAUUAUUGAAACCGGACUCGGAUUCACCGGAAUUUUUUGGUCUCAAGAAUAUCAACAAUAGAAGCUUGCUCGAAAGUCGUACCACUGCCUGUCGUCGUCUCCCGGAUGCUCGAGUAUAUGAUAUUUUCACAUUAACAAGAAGAUUGGAACUCAUCUUGAUUGUUGGGAGCAUAUCCAUUUAAAUAAAUGAGUGCUUAGCUAAAUUUCUUUAUUGUUUAAAUAUAUCUUGUUGUAGUUCAUAUGUAAAAAAUAAAUCCUUGGUUGAUCAAACACUCUUUAUUCAUGUGUUAUUUGUCUUUACUAUCUAUUAUAGUUUUGAUGCAUAUAAAAUGAGAUGUUUCAAGUA